UCAAGCGCGAGAAGGGCGUUUGGUGGAUGCCUUGGCAGUAAGAGGCGAUGAAGGACGUGAUACUCUGCGAUAAGCUUUGGGAAGUCGAGAAUAGACGCUAUACCCAAAGAUCUCCGAAUGGGGCAACCCAACUGAUACUUUGUUAUUGUUACACUUUGUGUAAUCAAUAAUGGGGUAAAACAGUUAUUAAUUACCUGAAUACAUAGGGUUUUUAAAGCAAACCUGGGGAACUGAAACAUCUAAGUACCCAGAGGAAAGGAAAUCAAUAGAUACUCCCGUAGUAGUGGCGAGCGAACCGGGACCAGCCGAGCAAUGAAUGUGACUAGAACCAGUUGGAAAGCUGGGCGAUAUGGGUGACAGCCCCGUAUAGGAAGCAUGAUUUGACGUAUUAAGUAGGGCGGAACACGUGAAAUUCUGUCUGAACAUGGGGGGACCACCCUCUAAGGCUAAGUACUCCUUACUGACCGAUAGCGAACCAGUACCGUGAGGGAAAGGUGAAAAGCACCCCGACGAGGGGAGUGAAACAGUUUCUGAAACCGGACGCCUACAAACAGUUGGAGCCUCUUUAUGGGGUGACAGCGUACCUUUUGUAUAAUGGGUCAACGACUUGGUCUUACUAGCAAGCUUAAGCCGAUAGGUGUAGGCGCAGCGAAAGCGAGUCUUAAUAGGGCGAAUGAGUUAGUAGGAUCAGACCCGAAACCGAGUGAUCUAGGCAUGAGCAGGUUGAAGGUAAGGUAACACUUACUGGAGGACCGAACCCACAUCUGUUGAAAAAGAUCGGGAUGACUUGUGCCUAGGGGUGAAAGGCCAAUCAAACUCGGAGAUAGCUGGUUCUCCGCGAAAUCUAUUUAGGUAGAGCGUCGCACGAAUACCUUGGGGGGUAGAGCACUGAAUGGGUAAUGGGGACUCACCGUCUUACUGAUCCUAAUCAAACUCCGAAUACCCAAGAGUAAUAUGCGGCAGACACACUGCGGAUGCUAACGUCCGUAGUGGAGAGGGAAACAACCCUGACCCUCAGCUAAGGCCCCUAAUUCAUGGCUAAGUGGGAAAGCAGGUGGGACGACCAAAACAACCAGGAAGUUGGCUUAGAAGCAGCCAUCUUUUAAAGAUAGCGUAACAGCUCACUGGUCUAAUUUAAGUUAUCCUGCGGCGAAGAUGUACCGGGGCUCAAGCCAUGAGCCGAAGCUAGGGAUGCAAUUUAUUGCAUGGUAGCGGAGCGUUCUGUGAUAUAGAACGCUGCGUCUUUAGUAUCUUAGGAUAUUUUGGACGCAAUGUUCUGACUGUGAAGCCGGCGCGUAAGCGAUCCGGUGGAGUGAUCAGAAGUGAGAAUGUUGACAUGAGUAGCGACAAACAGGGUGAGAGACCCUGUCGCCGAAAGUCCAAGGGUUCCUGCUUAAAGCUAAUCUGAGCAGGGUAAGCCGACCCCUAAGGCGAGGCCGAAAGGCGUAGUCGAUGGGAACCAGGUUAAUAUUCCUGGGCCAGGUGGUAGUGACGGAUCUCGAGGGUAGUUCAUCCUUAUUGGAUUGAAUGGGCUGCUUAGAGGUUCCUGGAAAUAGCUCCAUCGCUAGAUCGUACCCUAAACCGACACAGGUGGACUGGUAGAGAAUACCAAGGCGCUUGAGAGAACUACAUUGAAGGAACUCGGCAAAAUGCCUCCGUAAGUUCGCGAGAAGGAGGCCCCAUCAGAAGGCAACUUUUGGUGGGGGGCACAGACCAGGGGGUGGCGACUGUUUACUAAAAACACAGGGCUCUGCGAAGUCGUAAGACGACGUAUAGGGUCUGACGCCUGCCCGGUGCUGGAAGGUUAAGAGGAGGUGUGCAAGCACUGAAUUGAAGCCCCAGUAAACGGCGGCCGUAACUAUAACGGUCCUAAGGUAGCGAAAUUCCUUGUCGGGU
Molecule: ribosomal RNA, 1896 nt
Filed under: marine metagenome
Description: bacterial LSU rRNA
Rfam family: Bacterial large subunit ribosomal RNA
Source: RNAcentral